GUGCGUAACACAUGCAAGUCGGACGGGGCUUAUGUUCUCGAGUGAUCGAGAGGAUGAGUCGAGUGGCGGACGGGUGAGUAACACGUGGAUAACCUACCCUGGUGUGGGGGAUACCCUGUAGAAAUACGGGCUAAUACCGCAUGAGGUCAUCUUUGGGGAACCGAGGAUGAAGAAAGCCGAAAGGCGCAGCAGGAGGGGUCCGCGCCCGAUUAGCUAGUUGGUGAGGUAAGAGCUCACCAAGGCGACGAUCGGUAGCUGGUCUGAGAGGAUGAUCAGCCACACUGGGAUUGAGAACGGCCCAG
Molecule: ribosomal RNA, 302 nt
Filed under: uncultured bacterium
Lineage: Bacteria
Description: bacterial SSU rRNA
Rfam family: Bacterial small subunit ribosomal RNA
Source: RNAcentral